RNAcentral lists this ribosomal RNA (435 nucleotides) under uncultured bacterium. RNAcentral describes it as "partial 16S ribosomal RNA". It matches the Rfam family "Bacterial small subunit ribosomal RNA", at positions 28 to 507 of the family's 1533-position model. The record is from RNAcentral.
GAUGAACGCUGGCGGUAUGCUUAACACAUGCAAGUCGAACGGACUCUUCGGAGUUAGUGGCGGACGGGUGAGGAACGCGUGGGAAUCUGGCUUUGGGUUCGGGACAACCACUGGAAACGGUGGCUAAUACCGGAUGUGCCGAGAGGUAAAAGAGAAAUUGCAUGAAGAUGAGCUCGCGGUUGAUUAGCUCGUUGGUGAGGUACAGGCACACCAAGGCAGCGAGCAGUGGCAGGUUUGAGCUGACGCCCAGCCACACUGCGACUGGGACACAGCCCAGACUCCUCCUGCGGGAUGCAGGGGGGCAUUACCCGCAAUGGGCGAGUGCCUGACGAAGCUCUUCCGCUUGUAGGAAGAUGUUUCUAGGGUUGAAAACCUCUUUUCUUAGCGAAGAACAAAUUGACGGUACCUAAGGAAACAGCAUCGGCUAACUCCGUG